CAGAUGUUGGUCUCCUGGGAAUGUGAACUGAGGAUUUCGAGCCUCUAGUUUCCUCUGUGGCCCUGAUCAGAGACCUCACUGCAUAUUCUGUGUUUGUUCAAAAGACACCGAGAAAGUUCUUCCACAGAGGCAAGAGUGAAGCAAAUGAGUGGCUAUUAGACAAGCACUGUGCUGCUGAGCCAUAUUCCCAGCUCACCAGAUCUCCUGAUGGAAUCCUUCACUUGAGUUCAGCUCUCCAAGCCCUGCUCACUUUCUUCCAACUCUGUUCAUAGCAUCAGUGGACUUUCUUCGGUAAGGCAAGAGAGCACUUCAGUUAAAGUCAGGGUUUCAGAAUUAGGUCUGGGUUCAAGUCUUGGCUCUGAAAAUGCUAUCCAUGGGUGAUCUUGUCCAGGAUGCUUCAAAUGAUUUUAGCUUCAGUUUCUUCAUCUGAUAGGUGAGAGGAAAGAAGUUCUUAGGGCAAACUAAAUGAGAUAUUUGCUAUAAAACAUGUAAAAUGAAACAUAAAACUAAGCUACUAAAGUUCAAAAACUCCUCACUUUUGCAUGUUGAGUAUAAAAAUGAAUCUGUGUCUGUCCAAGUCCUCAGAAUUUUUAAGUGAUGUUUGGGAAGUCUCUAUAUGAUGUCUAGGUUGG
Molecule: long non-coding RNA, 632 nt
Filed under: Chinchilla lanigera (long-tailed chinchilla)
Lineage: Eukaryota; Metazoa; Chordata; Mammalia; Rodentia; Chinchillidae
Description: lncRNA (ENSCLAG00000028090.1)
Source: RNAcentral